GAUGAACGCUGGCGGCGUGCCUAAUACAUGCAAGUCGAGCGAAUGGAUUAAGAGCUUGCUCUUAUGAAGUUAGCGGCGGACGGGUGAGUAACACGUGGGUAACCUGCCCAUAAGACUGGGAUAACUCCGGGAAACCGGGGCUAAUACCGGAUAACAUUUUGAACCGCAUGGUUCGAAAUUGAAAGGCGGCUUCGGCUGUCACUUAUGGAUGGACCCGCGUCGCAUUAGCUAGUUGGUGAGGUAACGGCUCACCAAGGCAACGAUGCGUAGCCGACCUGAGAGGGUGAUCGGCCACACUGGGACUGAGACACGGCCCAGACCCCUACGGGAGGCAGCAGUAGGGAAUCUUCUGCAAUGGACGAAAGUCUGACGGAGCAACGCCGCGUGAGUGAGGAAGGCUUUCGGGUCGUAAAACUCUGUUGUUAGGGAAGAACAAGUGCUAGUUGAAUAAGCUGGCACCUUGACGGUACCUAACCAGAAAGCCACGGCUAACUACGUGCCAGCCGCCGCCGUAA
RNAcentral lists this ribosomal RNA (515 nucleotides) under uncultured bacterium. RNAcentral describes it as "partial 16S ribosomal RNA". It matches the Rfam family "Bacterial small subunit ribosomal RNA", at positions 28 to 523 of the family's 1533-position model. The record is from RNAcentral.